This 482-nucleotide ribosomal RNA is filed under the name uncultured bacterium. Its description in RNAcentral is "partial 16S ribosomal RNA". It matches the Rfam family "Bacterial small subunit ribosomal RNA", at positions 28 to 523 of the family's 1533-position model. The record is from RNAcentral.
GACGAACGCUGGCGGCGUGCUUAACACAUGCGAGUCGAACGAUGAAAUGGAGCUUGCUCCAGGGAUUAGUGGCGAACGGGUGAGUAACACGUGAGUAACCUGCCCUUGACUCUGGGAUAAGCGCUAGAAAUGGCGUCUAAUACCGGAGAAGAGCUUCAGCCGCCUGGCUAGGAGUUGGAAAGAAUUUUGGUCAAGGAGGGACUCGCGGCCUAUCAGCUAGUGGGUGAGGUAAUGGCUCACCAAGGCGACGGGGGGUAGCCGGCCUGAGAGGGUGACCGGCCACACUGGGACUGAGACACGGCCCAGACUCCUACGGGAGGAAGCAGUGGGGAAUAUUGCACAAUGGGCGAAAGCCUGAUGCAGCAACGCCGCGUGAGGGAUGACGGCCUUCGGGUUGUAAACCUCUUUUAGUAGGGAAGAAGCGAAAGUGACGGUACCUGCAGAAAAAGCACCGGCUAACUACGUGCCAGCCGCCGCCGUAA